This 439-nucleotide ribosomal RNA is filed under the name uncultured bacterium. Its description in RNAcentral is "partial 16S ribosomal RNA". It matches the Rfam family "Bacterial small subunit ribosomal RNA", at positions 338 to 795 of the family's 1533-position model. The record is from RNAcentral.
CCUACGGGGGGCAGCAGUGGGGAAUAUUGGACAAUGGGCGAAAGCCUGAUGCAGCAACGCCGCGUGAGCGAUGAAGGCCUUAGGGUUGUAAAGCUCUGUCCUCAAGGAAGAUAAUGACGGUACUUGAGGAGGAAGCCCCGGCUAACUACGUGCCAGCAGCCGCGGUAAUACGUAGGGGGCUGGCGUUAUCCGGAGUUACUGGGCGUAAAGGGGGCGUAGGUGGAUUCUUAAGUCAGAGGUAAAAGGCUACGGCUCAACCGAAGGAAGCCUUUGAAACUGGGGAACUUGAGUGCAGGAGAGGUGAGUGGAAUUCGUAGUGUAGCGGUGAAAUGCGUAGAUAUUAGGAGGAACACCAGUUGCGAAGGCGGCUCUCUGGACUGUAACUGACGCUGAGGCACGAAAGCGUGGGGAGCAAACAGGAUUAGAUACCCGAGUAGUC